This 292-nucleotide long non-coding RNA is filed under the name Serinus canaria (Common canary). RNAcentral's name for it is "lncRNA (ENSSCAG00000003501.1)". Lineage: Eukaryota; Metazoa; Chordata; Aves; Passeriformes; Fringillidae. The record is from RNAcentral.
UCCUGCUGCAUUGCUGUUGACAUGGAAACCAAUACCACUUUCUGUUGCAGAGAAUUGGAAGCUAAAGCUACCAAAGAAGCCGAAAGAAAACUAAGCAGGGCUUUCCUGCCUCAUUUAUGUGGAACUGAGAGAAGGGAUUUAGUGCAAGAAGAGGAAGAACAGUUGAUGGAAGAAAGGAAAAAGAGAAAAGAAGACAAGAAGAAGAAGGAAGCUGCUCAAAAAAAGGUAUGUGGAGCACUGAGAAUAAACCCCUGUGCUUGGAGGUGACUUGUUUCAUCACUAGUAAAAACAA